UGGAUAAGACAUGCAAGUCGAACGAAAUUUUAUUGGUAGUAAUACUAAUAAAAUUUAGUGGCGAACGGGUGCGUAACACGUGAGUAAUCUGCCGAGAAGUGGGGGAUAGCUCGUCGAAAGGCGAAUUAAUACCGCAUGUGACUUGUGGGGACAUCUCUGCAAAGUUAAAGUCGCAAGACGCUUCUUGAUGAGCUCGCGGCCUAUCAGCUAGUUGGUGAGGUAAUGGCUCACCAAGGCGAUGACGGGUAGCUGGUCUGAGAGGACGACCAGCCACACUGGAACUGAGACACGGUCCAGACACCUACGGGUGGCAGCAGUCGAGAAUUUUUCACAAUGGGGGAAACCCUGAUGGAGCGACGCCGCGUGGAGGAUGAAGGCCCUUGGGUUGUAAACUCC
This 396-nucleotide ribosomal RNA is filed under the name uncultured organism. RNAcentral describes it as "bacterial SSU rRNA". It matches the Rfam family "Bacterial small subunit ribosomal RNA", at positions 45 to 433 of the family's 1533-position model. The record is from RNAcentral.